CUAAAAUAUUACAUGAUAUUUUUCCUUCCCUAAUCUUUCAUUGGCUAUUAGCAACCACAUCAGGGAAACAAUCCAUCAAAAAUUUCCAAAACCUUGAGCCCAUAUGAGCCAGGUUUUCUACAUCCACCAAACCCUUUGGUGUAUAUUUUGAUUUGAAAAAGCGGGCCCACAACAAAUCAACAGUAAGCACUUUCCAAGCAAAUUUCAUGUGGAGAGACUUUUGAAUUUCUUCAAACCUACAAAUCCCAAGGCCUCCCUCCAUUAGUGGUGUACAAAUUUUCUUCCAUGAGCACCAUUUUUCCUAUUUCUUCCAUUAAUCUCUCCCCAAAGAAAGAGGAUAAUAUGGAAUUUAAGGUCGUAAAAACUGAUUUAGGAACACUUAGAACGGAUAAUAAAUGGGUUGCUAUACAUGAUAAAACAUGUCUCAAUAACACAAGACGACCUCCUUGUGAUAAAAGUUGUCUUUUCCAACCUGCAAUCUUUUUUUUUUUUUUUUGAAUUUUCUCCACUAAAAGCUGUAGAUGACGAGCAGUCAAUCUUUCUAUCACCACUGGUACCCCAAAUAAGUUAUUGGAAAAAAGCCCUCUCUGAAAGAACUUAACCGAAGAACCUCGUUCUUGCGAGAUGCCCCAUAAUGUUUAGCAAAGAAAAUAGCUAACUUCUCUUUAUUAAUAACAUGGCCUAUCCAUUUUUCAUAUAAUUGAAAGGUCUCCAUUAAAGCUUUUAUCGAUCUUUUACUUCCAUUAGCAAAGUUUACAAUAUCAUUAGCAUAUAGCAAAUGCGAAUCGAAUGUGCACCUCAGGGAUGUGAAUAAACAUCUAUGCAGCCAUCUACGAAUUUUUUUUCUCACUAGCCUAGUCAACACAUCUUCCUUGAUAAUAAAUAAAUAUGGGGAUAUAGGAUCACCUUGGCUCAGGUAAUAUUAGGAUUCGGUAUCUUUUAUGGUUUUCUUUUUCAAUUCCUAGAUCAACUGGAAAAUUAAGUGAUAGAUGUCAAUGUCAUGAUGAGAUUGUAUAGAUGAGCUAGAUUUAACCAAGAUGAAUGUUUGUUCAAAAUGUCAAUAUAGUUAUGUUCUCACUUUCUAUUAUCCUAUUUUAUUAUGCUAUGUUAGCUUUUACCAAAGAGAAGAGUUGAGCAGCGUUUGACUUGGGUAUCCUCCUUAGACAUAUUUUUCAACUGAAUUAGUACUUAUCUCAUUGUUGCUGACUCUACAUAUGAUAAUUUCAACUGAGAGGGUCAACCAAUCAACUGACAGAAUCAAGGAAAGUCGACGUGCUACACUGGAGACAGAAGAGCUCGAAGUGUCAAUGCUUGAAGAUUUGCAAUAGCAACGUGAAACGCUCUUGCAUUCCCAUAAGAAGGCAUGUGUCACUUUCCAAGAGUUCCUAGCCCCCAUUUCGCCUCCAUCUUUUGAAAUGAAAAUUGUAUUUUUCAACAGAAAAUGUAACGAUAGAUGUAAACUUACAUCUUCUUUCAUCCAUGAGAGGCAAAAAGUGGAUUUAGAUCUUCCAAUUUGAGCAAAAUUUGAAUUUAGAUACAUUGGAAUGUAAAUGAGGAUGCAAAAGUGAUUUUAAAUAUAUCAAUUUACACCCAAUUUUACAUUACAAUUGGAGAUGCUCCAAUCUACUUAUUAAAUAGAUCCUUCUAUACACUGGUGGAUCCAGGCACAGGCUUGACCAUGCUAUAACCCAUGUCCACCCCUGAAAAUGUCCACUUUUUUCUUAGUUUUUUUAAAGAAAAAUCCAUGUAUAUCUGUAUUGUAGCUUGCGUCCAAACUCAAUGCUAGAUCCGUGAUAAGUGUAUUUUAUACACUUAUUCGAUACCUUAAAUAACAAUAUUUGAUGGUUCUUUUGACAAAUUAUAUCCUAAAUUUUUGUCUUUCAUGUUUAAUAGGUGAAAUUUUAUGAAGGAAAAUGAAUUGAAGGAAUGAAGCAAAAAAGGGCGAAACACAAAAGUUUGGGACCAAGUUGUAAUAAUUCAAUAGUUGAUCCGGACCAUGAAUUGAAGAUUGAAAUAUUUGGAGGUCAAAUUGAAUAUUUUGGAAGGUGAAGGACUUGAAUUGAACCAAACAAUACAUGGGUUGCAAGAAUAAAAGGGAUGAAGGACUAAAAUUUAUUAUAUUAAAAGAUUGAGGACUUGAGGGCUAAUAUUGCAAUAAAGCCUUUGAAUUGUAGUCAAAUAUGGUGGUUGUGGAGUUGUUAUAUAUAUAUAUAUAUAUAUAUAUAUAUAUAUAUAUAUAUAUAUAUGUAUGCGUACAUGCAGAAAAAAGGGGAAGAGAGUUGGCUGGGAAAAAUUGGGAAUCACCUUGGAGUCAAACAUUGCGGCUCUAAUAUAUAUAUUCAUAUCAUGCACAUAAAACGAGAGUUUUAGGGUAGAGACAACCAAUGUAUUAAUUCUCACACACUUUCUGCCAAAAUAAAACACGUAUAGAAUUUGAGGGUUGGCAGUGUCGAAAAUUAAUUGGCAGCAACUUUAAGGGCAAUCAAAUUGCAGCAGAUUUGGGAUUGAUUUAAAGCGAAAAUCGAAGCAGAAUAUAACAGAGAAAUAGAUACAGAAAAAGGGUUGUAGGUUGACUUCUUGAUUUGCAAGUUAUAUAUUCACGCCAACAAAAUCAGAAAGAGACGGCAACACGUAAAAAUGGCAGAUUAUUCACGUUCCGUCAAUAAAUCGGGUGAUGUCUUCCAUGAUAAUAUCUUGUUUUUCUCCCAUUAAUAUGUGUAGCUAAAUUUAUUUUUAGGGCUCACGAUGUAACUGAUUUGGGACCUUUAUUUCUUUUAUUUGAGAUUCUUGUUCUUUUAUAUUUUAUGUGUAGAUUUUAAUUAUGUUUUUAAUGCUUUUUUUUGGCCAAUUAUUCAAUAAUGUCGUGAACAAUAAUUACGUAGAGAUGCGGAUUCUUG
This 2897-nucleotide long non-coding RNA is filed under the name Olea europaea subsp. europaea. Lineage: Eukaryota; Viridiplantae; Streptophyta; Magnoliopsida; Lamiales; Oleaceae. The record is from RNAcentral.